RNAcentral lists this ribosomal RNA (301 nucleotides) under uncultured bacterium. RNAcentral's name for it is "partial 16S ribosomal RNA". It matches the Rfam family "Bacterial small subunit ribosomal RNA", at positions 509 to 808 of the family's 1533-position model. The record is from RNAcentral.
CAGCCGCCGCGGUAAAACGGAGGGUGCAAGCGUUAAUCGGAAUUACUGGGCGUAAAGCGCACGCAGGCGGUUUGUUAAGUCAGAUGUGAAAUCCCCGGGCUCAACCUGGGAACUGCAUUUGAAACUGGCAAGCUAGAGUCUCGUAGAGGGGGGUAGAAUUCCAGGUGUAGCGGUGAAAUGCGUAGAGAUCUGGAGGAAUACCGGUGGCGAGGCGGCCCCCUGGACGAAGACUGACGCUCAGGUGCGAAAGCGUGGGGAGCAAACAGGAUUAGAUACCCCAGUAGUCCCUGUCUCUUAUACA